CAGAGUUGAAAAACUCCCUAACCCUUUGUUUAUAUACCUGUCCCGUUGCUUCGGCAGGCGGCCCCAGGGCGGGGCCUCCAGCCUGCUUAGCAGGUGCCUGCCGCUGGCACAAAACUCUUUGUUAUAUAUACUACUCUGAGUCAAACAAAAAUGAAUCA
Molecule: unclassified non-coding RNA, 158 nt
Filed under: uncultured Conlarium
Lineage: Eukaryota; Fungi; Ascomycota; Sordariomycetes
Description: sequence contains ITS1
Source: RNAcentral